Hippopotamus amphibius kiboko is the source of this 8769-nucleotide long non-coding RNA. RefSeq lists it as uncharacterized. NCBI's taxonomy places the organism in Eukaryota, Metazoa, Chordata, Mammalia, Artiodactyla, Hippopotamidae. The transcript is spliced from 3 exons. The record is from RefSeq and is a predicted model, not a curated record.
UGGAAACGAGCAUCUGUGGAUCGCACUUUGCUUCGGAUGCUUGGCUCCUGGCUAGAGCCGCGCUGGGGAGAGAGCGGGGAGCCGCGCUAGCACCACACGCAGGCAUGGGAGGAGGAGUGAUUCAUCGUGUUUGCUUUCAUCUUGUAACAAGAUUAAUUCAGUGGAGUUCAACUUCCAGAGAAAAAUGGACCAUUUAUUGUUUCAGAUUCGGGCUUAGGCACAGCAGGUGGACUUUCCAAACUGCCUCAUCUGACGUUUCCUAGAAAUUACUUCUAGGGCUUGCUUACUCUGGUGUCUGCCCUUACCAUAAGUGAGCAUGGAAAGCUGCAAAUCAUUUACUUUUCCUCUGGAGGCACAUGUUCCUGCUGCGCUGGGCAGAUUCAACAGGCAAACCCAUUUUGCCAGAAGUAAUACCAUAUUCCAGAUAAUGAUGUCCUUUGAUCUUUUCAAUGGGAACGGCUGCAGCACACAGGAUCUUCAUUGCCUCCUGCAAGAUCUUCAUUGUGGCAUGUGGGAUCUUCAGUUGCGGCAUGCGAACUGUUAGUUGCGGCAUGUGGGAUCUAGUUCCCUGACCAGGGAUCAAACCUGGGCCCUCUGCCUUGGGAGUGCAGAGUCCUAGCCACUGCACCACCAGGGAAGUCCUAGAAUUUCUGAUAUUUGAAAAUAACUCAGGUUGAUAAAAUUCAGGCAUUUUCUGGGGGUGUGGGUUUGAGAAGGGAUGAGACAGUGGAUGAGUUUGGAUUUAGACUUAUUUAUUUAUAUGCCUCUGGUAUACCCAGGUGGAUAUGACCAGUAUGCACUUAGCAAUGGACCUCAGACAAGAGUUCAGGGCUAAAGGUAGAUAUUUGGAAUGAUCAGCUUUUAAGUAAUGCAUGACACCAUGACAACAGAUGUAAACAUCCAGAGGAGCGAAAGGCUCGUAUUAAGCGCAGUCAGUGUGGCAUGAGCAGCAGGUGAAGAGAAGGGAGGACAGUGGAUUCAAGGAGCCUGGCAGCGAGAAGGUGAGAAGUAGAACUGAGAGCGUUAACCAUGUUUCUCAGGGAGGAGAGGGAGGGGGGAGUUACUCGCAAGGGAGAAAAUGAAGAGGGAAGAGGAUGGGGCCUGUUGAGGGUCUGAGGUUUCCAGGCGGUGGGGAGAGUAUCAGAAGCACCAUGUGAGCCUUGGAGGGGCUACCCGUUCCUUUAGCUGGAAGGGAGGAGGUGAGUGAAAAUGUAACUCAGGAGUAGGAAGGAGAGAAAUGGAGGGAGUUAUCAGUCAUGAUAACUUCCUCUCUCACCCUUUCCCUUCUUCAUGAAGCGGGAGGGGGGGUUAUCUGCUGAGCAUGAAGGGAACAUUGGUAAAGUUUGGGAGCAUCUUUAUAAAUGAAAAUAUGUGGUGUACCUAGAUCUUGUUGAACUCAUAUGUUACAUUUCCAUUUUGGAAUCGAAGUCAUUUUUCACUUCCUUCUGAACCCUAAACCAUCAUGAUCAAGACAACAACUUAUACCAAAAGCCACGGACGCAUGAAGGUCCCAGCACUGCUUGUAAAACUCACCCCAGGAAUUUCUGACCAGCUGAAGGCCUGCCCUGAGAUGUGCAGCUUUGUCUAAGACAACAAAUCUAUGCAGAUCUGAUGGAUGUAAAGACUGAUGGCUGAGUAAUUUAUGUCUUAACUAACCUGAUAAAUUGACUCACUCUUUGAGAAUGUUCUAUCUUCUUUCGAGAUGGAGUAAAAACUCCUUGGGGUAGGGAGGUCCCCUGAGAAAUGUUAGUGUUCCUGAAGUAAUAAUAGGCUAGAAAGCCUUUUAUUGUGGGAUGAGUGUGACAGAAAGAAAGAAACGGAAAGAAAGAAAUGUGAGUCACACAAAAACCUCAUCCCAUGAGCUUCAGCCAUUGUCAUUCAUAUUUAAGAAAAGGUUGUGAGGAAUUUCAAUAUUAGGUAUUUUAUUUGUAUUUUAUGUAAUGUUUAUCAUCGCUGUAUACUUUGGCUUCACCUUGGAUGAAAAGUCAGACAGAUACGAAGUUUCAGCUUCCCCCUCUGCUUUAGCCUACUUGCUGUGACACGAGGCAGAAACUCCUUUAGCAGAGCCCCUGAAGGGAGGGAGGGGGAGGAGACACAGGCUUCCCUGUCUCAGCGGAGCCCUUAGGAUUUGAAGAUGUGCUCUGUUCUCCUUCAGGACUCUUUACCUUUGCCCUGGGUUUCCCAUUUCGGAGCCUGACUUGGAGGAAGCCCAGCGCGGUCUCCCCACACGCAUGCAUCCCCCAGACCUCGGACAAGCUUGCCCGUUCCUGUCCGGGGUUCACGCUGCGCCUCAGGUUUGGGUACAAAGCAGUUUCCAAACCUGAGGCGUGUCCGGCUGGGGCCUGUUCACUGGGGGCCGGUGGCCAACGCUGGGGCCACCAGGGCUGGGGCUCUCCAGGCCCUGCUCACUGGCACAGUCAGUGAUGCACAGGCUGGGGGAGGUGGAGCAAACCGCAGUCUGGGGUGGCUUGGCCCAACCAGCAACACGAGACCUUUACCUGCAGAGUGAACCGAGUGAAGGCGUGAAGGACAAUCAGGAGGAGAAGCGCUGGAAAGAUUUUGCCUUUACUUAAAACGUCCCAGCUUUUCAUUUUAAAAGAAACUUAACCAAUUAGCAUUUGUGAAGCAUUGGUCACUCACGGCUGAUAAAUGCUUUCUGAGACCUGUAGCGCUCACUGCAGGUUUGUAGCAUAGCUGUCGGUGUGAAUGUGCCCUUAGACCUCACCUAGUUUUUCCCUUUCCAGAGCGUGCGUUCCCCUCUGUCACGUCCUGAAUCCUGAUGAACCUCUUGAAAAAAGGAGGUUCUUUUGUACGACACAGACCCUGAGGCUUCUGCCCUCCAGCGCUGACAGAUGUGAGAGAGGCCUUGACCUCUCACCGAGGCUCUGUCUGCUCGCUCUGUCUGCCGCCGAAAGCAGCUAGGAGCAAUCAUAGAUGUGGGGAUGCUGUGUCCCUGGUCAAUGCCAUGACCGCUUGGACGGACCCUUCCUCCUGUGCCUGUGCAUCUUCCUUUCCGUUUGGGGUUUUUUUUUUUUAAGUGUACAAUUUGAUAUUUUUUUCUUAGUAGUAAUGUAUAUAUGGCAAUCCCAAUCUCCCAGUUCAUCCCCCCCCCCCGCCCCCGCUUUCCCCACUUGGUGUCCAUAUGCUUGUUCUCUGCAUCUGUGUCUCUAUUUCUGCCUUGCAAACCGGUUGAUUUGUACCAUUUUUCUAUAGUCCGCAUAUAUGUGUUCAUAUACGAUACUUGUUUUUCUCUUUCUGACUCGCUUCACUCUGUAUGUUUUGUUUUGUUUUUUAAUUGAAGUAUAGUUGAUUUACAAUAUCAUGUUAGUUUCAGGUGUAUAGCACAGCAAUUCGGGGAUACAUAUAAACUCUUCUUCAGAUUCUCUUCCCUUAUAGAUUAUUACAAAAUAUUGAGAAUAGUUCCUUGUACUGUACAGAGGGACCUUGUUGGCCACUUAUUUUAUAUACAGUCGUGUGUCUGUUAAUCCCAACCUCCUAAUUUGUUCCCCCUCCUUCUUUCCUGUUUUUAUCAAGUGUUUUCUGUUUUCUCCUGAAUCUUCAAACACAGUUUGUGUCCUAUUUACUGUUGGAUGUGUGGAGGAUAGUGUUUUCCUGCCUCUGAAGAGCUUAAAAAACAGGCCAUAUCCCUAUUUUUCUGAGAAUUUAGUUCUGCCUCUAAGUAGGGAGAUCAAAAUAGCUUUCUAAUUCUAUGGUCCUUAAGCUUAUCUCCCCUCUUCACUUUGCCAGGUAGCCAACGGGACUCAUGUGCAUUGGGCUCGAGGUAAGAGGGGAGCGAUGAAGUGAAAAUGUUGUUCUGAGUGUGGGUGCCUGGCAAGUGUCUCUGUCCCUGAGCCGCGGAACUGCUAUCGUAAUCUAAGAUCAACAGAAGAAGCAACCCAGGGCCAAGCCCAGGGCAGAAAUCAGGGUCAUGGGUUACAAAUUGAUCUGGGAGUGAAAUUACAAGCCUACCUAAAGCUUUUAUAGGGCUUGAUUCCAGGAAAUAAGGCCAAUAUAUGUCCAAGGUAGCUCAUUUAAAGCCAGAGCUUUCAAAACUUUAACACUCUUUGUUCUCCCUAAGACGUGGUUGGGAACGUGGUGGACAUGGGUGUCGUCUGUGUGUUUUCUGCUCAGUGUCCCUCUUUCCAACUGAAGGCAGUGCCCCACUGUGUGUCAUAUUAAGGAGGUGCAGUGCUCCACCCUGGAUCCAGGGUGGUCCCCCUCCCUACCCCAGACCUUUAGGGUAGGACCCAGGCUCAGCCUGUUAGACCCUCCUCUCUGGGACUUUGAAUAUCGAGGGAGUGAAGCAAACAUUCCAGGAUGGUUCAGAAACCGCUUGCGGUGCUGAUGUCAUGCUGUGGGUAGCAGUGGAGUACCAGCAGGGGCAGACAGUCCUGUGGCGUGACGCUGGCUGUGGUCCCCACUGCCCAUCCUCUCUUGGUGUCCAGCCCAUUUCCUGAGCCUUGGUCUCCAGCCCUCCCACGGGUCCUAUGACGUCUUCCAUAUCCUCCCAAUACACUCCAGCUGAGACACAGUGAGCAGGGCUGUCUUCUGUUGCUUGCAGCCAAGCAUUAGAUUGAGCCAUCGGACGUUGCUGUCCUCACGUGUAAAGAGGUGUUUCCGGUGCUGCUAGUUGGUCUCUGUCUAGAACGGUCUGGCAGCUCGCCUGCUGUGCCUCUCCACAUGAGAGCUGCUGUACUUAGAGAUUUCAAGACAAGUCUAGAGUCAAGGGUUUCUGGCAUGUUACCAAAGUGGACACAACUACUUUGAUGUAGAGAGGAAUUGCAUUGAGUAAGGGCCCCACGUAGCCACCGUCUGCAGGUGUGACUCCCAGGCCACAGACCUCGGUGGCAAGAUAUACCAAGUUUUUUUAUGCAUUUACAUCAACUUAAUUUAACGUCACCUUUUCCUACAUAGCAAAAAAGGAAAUGUAUCCACAGGCAUACCUGAUUGCCCCCAGAACCUCCUCUCCCCAAGGGUUGUUUGGCAGCCCAGGGUCUCACAGCCCCAAGAUAUAGGGGAAGGCCCUCUGGUCUUCAGUCCUGGACUCUCAUGGUGACCUCUGAGACACCCUCUGCCCUAGCCAGUACAGUCCCUUCAAACCUGCUGGCUCGGUUUUCUUCCCCUGUGGCACUUGAAGCAUGGGGACCUUUGGCAAGGCUACUGCUUCAGGUGUAUCAUAAAGCUGAGCCUUUGAACGUCUGGUCACAUCCUUAGGGCAACGUGAUGGAGAUGGCUCUGGUCCCUGAUGCGCGAGGAGCCCGUAGACCUCUGUCCUUCCCUCCUAUCUCCUGGAAUCUUUUAGUUUGAUGAAUAUUCCACUUUCUUCAUGUUUCCUUUACAGGUCCCCCCACUCCCCCCCAUACACAUACCCCACAAAUUAAUCAAUGGCUUAAGCUUUUGAAAACAAAAAUCAAGAAGGAAAAUAUAUUGCGGGAAACUUGUGUUUCAUGCUCUCCCACAAGCACCCUCUGAGACAAGGAAGCACAGAACUUGUUCUUUGCUCGAAUGGUAGAAGGGAGAGAGGGGUCAUUGCAUGGGGUGGGAGGGGAAUAAAAACAAAUGAAUAGGUUAAAAAAAAACAGUCUUGUCAACAGCAUUUAAAAUGCAUGAGGGGAAAAAGAAAAUGGAGGUGCUGAAAGGCUCUCAGCCACCAAAUAGAGGGGUUAAUUGGCUUUGUGUUUGGUGUCAUUCACUAUCUUCUGUGACUCCUUAAAGUUUCCUAACUGAUGCAACCUCAUCUCUAAUAUUCUGGUAUGAAUAAUGUCACUCCCUCCUUUCCCCCUCUAACUUUUUAGAGUCAGGAAUGAGGAGUGUAUCCUGUCUACGUUCUAUAAACCAAGUCAGCAAUUCUAGCUCUAAUUAAUAUGGGACUUCUACUCCAGCUGGAAGCAAAUAUUUGUGUAACAAAUGAAAGAGCAUAGAAUCCACAAUCAAGCAUCUUACUGACCCCUUGUUCCAGCUGUUUCUCUGAAGACAUUCCACUUAUUUUUAUAAUCUCCAAUCUUGGGUGGCAAGACGGCUUGGGUGAGGUACCUCUGCUGACAUGUGAGUCUAGUCAUUUACUGAUACAUUUAAAACGAGCGUAUGCUAAGAUUUUUUAUUCAUUAUAGAUGCUGAUGCCAAGAAGCAGAGAAUCCACAUUUUGGGAAUUUACAGGUCUAAUUCAUUCCACACAUAUGAAAGCUGGAUUCUGGUAAAAUUGAUGAAUCACUAGAAGAGGGAAAGUCAGGUCUUCUUAAGCCCAUAAUCAGGAUUGACUUUGAGUCACAGAAACUCUGAUUCAAAUGGGCUUAAACAAUAGGGGGAUUUAUUUUUCCAUUUCAAGGCCAGAGGUGGUUUGGGUCUAGAAUUGGUUAAUCCAGUGGCUUGGUGACAUCAUGGAAGACCCAGGUUCCAUCCAACUUUCCUCUCUGCCACCCUCUGUGCUCUUCUCUUAUGGUCCCAAGACAGCUGAAGCACUUCCAAGCACCAAAUCCCAGCAGGAUUUCUAGAGUCAGAGGGAAGGAAUGGUUACCUCUUGCCUGUCACUCCUGAAUAGCAAGAGAAUUUCUCCCAGAACUAUGCCUCCACCCAGCAGAUGUAUUCUCACGUCUCAUUAGCUAGAACUGAAUCGAGAACACUGCAUCAGGGCUUGACCCAUGGUGCCCUUCCCAUGGCACCUGGCCAUGGGGACCAGAUCUGGGUUUUCCCAAGAGGAAAGAAUAGAUUCAGACAGGGGAUCAGCAGUGUGUAUCAGGCCAGCUUAUCCCCGUGAGCUAAUAAAUGGCUUAUAAAUGUGUUUUCUGGAAUGUAGUUAGAAGUAAAUAUAUGAUGUUAAUACAUACUCUAUUAACUGCCUUUUCUUUUUUUCCUUUUUGGCCUCGGUUUUAGUUCCCCGACCAGGGAUUGAACCCGGGCCCCUGGCAGUGAGAGUGCAGAGUCCUAACCACUGGACUGCCAGGGAAUUUCCUACUCUAUGAACGGCUAAAUAUUUCAUUUGAACUUUCAUCAACUUUUGGAAGACACAAAAUAAUUUUUCACAAGCACCUUUAAUAAUCUAACUCUCCCUUAACCCAGAUCAUUUUUACUUAUUUCAGAGAUGUCUUAGGAGUCAGGGAGAUGUUGUACGAUCUGGAGACUCCUACUUCUUGAGAGUCAUCCUGAAUUCUCGGAUGUCUUCCCCAGAUCCUUUUCAGAUGCAUCCGGUCAUUGUCGCCACAUCCUGGUCCUUUGCUCGUUGCUGUGCUCUGUGCACACCUGCUCCUCUAGAGAGGACAUCUACUUCUGUGAUGUUGCUAUUACGACCGUUUGAAUUAUGCCCAAAUUUACAUUUUGGUUCUUUCUUUCGGCUGCUAACCUCUCAUUUCUAUAUGACUGAUGGAUGUUUCCAAUCAGAUAUAUUGCUAGUAACUCAGACUCAGUACACUUAAAAUCAUCAUACCUUCCCUCAUCAUCUCCAGUUUUGUUCCCAUCAUUUAAUCAAGGUCAACCAACUCAAAUUCCAUCUUCUUCGUGAAGAACUUUCUGAUUGUCAUCUGUCCAAUAAAAUAAUACGUAUCACUUGCCUGUCAUGGGACUUGACCUAGUGUAGACCCAAGUAUAAGGUGGUGAGCAAGCCCCACAGAGAGAACCUUCCUGUGCGGUGAUGUAUCAGAUAAUGAGGGACCAAUCAUCUCAGCUGAAACUGAUCGCUUGUCUCUGAUCUUCUGAAAUUUUCAUUGUCUAUGUGAUAAAGAUACAGCGAUAACAAAGGUGUACCUUGGAGAUUUGGGCAGGGCGUUGUUCUAAGUGCUUAAAACGUAAUAACUAACUUAACCUUCACAACAACCUUGUGAGGUGGCACUAUUUGCCCUACCCUUUUUACAGAGGAGGAGACCAAGACACAGAGAGGUUAAGAAACUCACUCAGGUUUACAAAGCUAGUAAGUGAUGAGAUUGCUUCCUUGGUAGCCAGGAAAGUAAAAUUAGAAUAAAUUCUAUUUUGAGUAAAAAUAAAAUAUUGAAACUUCAAAUAAUGUGAUUUUUUAAUACACCUACUUUUUCAUUUUCAGUAUGUUCUCAACUGUAUCAAUGUCCCAGAAAAAAAAAUAACAGUUAAAAAUGCAAUGAAACAUCUAGGUAGGGAUGCACAUUUUUUCCUUUUGCUUUGGGCUCCUGUUGCCUUGACACGGGAUUGUUGGAGCCUGUCUGUAUUUAAAUUUUGGCUAUUUUGUGCAUUGUGAGUUUUUUAUAUUAAUUUUGAUUUUUAAAAAUAUUGCAUUAAAAUAUUAUUUAUCUUGAUGACCAAAUUUUUGACACCCUUGUAAAUUUUGCGCCCAAGGUGAGCGCCUGGUCUUGGGUAGAGCUGGGAUUCAAACUGAGGUGACCUGGCUCCAGGUCUGUACUUUUGACCACAGCACAACUCAUGUCCUAGAACUGUUGAUUUUUGUAUCUAUAUCUACAUACCACUGCUCUUUCCAAUUAAACUACAAAUGCCUUGAGGGCAUGGACCACUUAUCAUACUGCCUUCUUGCAUUCCUAAAGCAUCUGGCAUGGUGUUUGUCUGGCAUGUCGCAUGCUUGAUAAAGGUUUGCUACAAGGGGGUCAAAGGAGACUUUUCUAGUGGGCUAAAAUUUACCAUCACCACCAGCCACUUCUGCCACAAUUUGUAGUUUUUUGUUGUUGUUGUUUUUACUGCAAUUUCCCUCUUACGUAUUGUAUUUUAAUUUUAUAAAAAUAAUUAACGGAAUAACCCAUCUCAUAUAAAAUGAUGAAUGAAUACAUGUUAAAAAACAAUAUGAAAAUAAAAUGC